This 1767-nucleotide long non-coding RNA is filed under the name Bemisia tabaci. RNAcentral describes it as "lncRNA ENSSSA1UGG005091". The record is from RNAcentral. Lineage: Eukaryota; Metazoa; Arthropoda; Insecta; Hemiptera; Aleyrodidae.
AUGGAAGAGCAGGAAGAAGUCCAGGAGGCCUCAAUGCAGCUGCCCAUACACGUGGCCUUGACUGAAACGGCGUUCCGAACGAGGCUGAAAACAUACCGACUUUCACCGGCAGGACGCGCCGCCGCCAGAUUUCCUAUCGAAAAAUUUCUUCGGAGCUCGGAGAAAAUCGUCGCCCCGUUGGUGUCUUACGGCUUAGAGUCUAGUCCGAAUUUAAAAGUCAAUGCGCUGCUUCUCGCGUCGUUUCGUCAUCCGGUGAAGCGCCGCGAAUAUCGCGAUUUCAAUUUAAAAACGGAUAACUUCCGCGUGCACAAUGUCGGCGAUGUGAAUGAUUUUCUGGUGUAUAUGCGCUCCAAAAUUUUACAGGAGCUCGACGAUUAUGCUACAACGGGCAGCGGUUGGACGUUCCGUAAAGUCAGGUAUCUCGAACUGCGCGUCAACAAAUACGAACCGCUGAGCGGUAAAAGAAAGAAGAAGAAGGAAAGCGGGAUGUACAGGAAGAGGGGUCCCAAGAGGGGUGGCGGGGGGAGUGGUGGUGGUGGUGGUGCUGGCGGCUCGUCCGAUUUGCGCGGGGGUUGUGCGGUGCGACUACCGGACGCGGUGCGGCGCACAAAAUCCACGAUUUCGGUGAACAACGCGAACAAUUCUUACUGUUUUAAAUACGCUGUGUUCGGUGAGGAUCUUGGUGACCCUCGAAACGCGGAAAGAGAGAGUAAAUAUUUGAGGGAUCCUCAAUUCGCGACGAAAUAUAACUGGGGGGUUAUCAACUACCCCGUAGCGGUGCGGGACAUACCGAUUUUUGAAAGAGCCAACGACAUAUCCGUAAAUGUGUAUCAGUUGAACCCCGACGAUCUGAUCGUGCGCCCGUUGAAAGUUGUAAAAGAAGAAAGGCCCACCCACCGCGACAUUUUACUUUACCGAGGUCAUUACGCGUGGAUAAAAAAUUUACGACGAUUAUUGUCACGACAAAUACCCAACCUACGUCAUUACGUAUUUUGUAAAUGUUGUUUUUCUAUUUUCACCUCCGCCGUAACUUUGAACGCGCAUAUGCGCGAAUGCGAUGCAUCUGGCGACGGUGACAGGUUGCCGGUUCAGGCGAUAAUUCCUGAGUCUAUCAGACGCAAAAAUGCACUGUCAGUUUAUCGCUGCCGCCCGGAGCUCUCAUUUCGCAGAGCGCUGGAGGACGCCCGACCGGGGGACCGAGAUUUUUGGAACGAGAUCGAUUGGACUGCCGUCCGUUCGUCUUACGUAAAGGUUGAAGAUUUGAGACGUUUCGCCGCGGCCAAUCGUCACCGGUUGAGCGUAAAUAUUUACGCUUUAAACGCCAAAAAUAGCGUGUUCCCCCUGGUGGUCUGCAAAGAGGAGCACCCGUCUCAUUUCGAUGUUUUGCAAAUUUUGAAUUCGUCCGUCGUCGAAGGCAAUGCGGCACCAGAAACGGUGACGUAUUUCUAUAAUAUCAAAAAUUUUUCGGCAUUGGUCGGCGGACAGAGAAACGCGCGCCAGCACGCCGCAUUUUAUUGUAGAUCUUGUUUCGCAUCGUUCACCGGCGAAGUAACCUUACAGAGGCACAAAGAAUCAUGCCGGUUAACGAAGCCCGCCAGAAGUUUGAUGCCGCCGCGCGAUAAAAAUCUUUUAAAUUUCUCUAAAUGGAGUCACACGCGUAAAUUGCCUUACCUCAUAUUUUCCGACUGGGAAUGUUUGCUUAAACCGGUGAAAGCGGACACCAGGCCUGUGAAAAACGCCUAUCAGGAACACGAACCGUGCGCUUUC